GAGAGCCACGUGCCCGGAAACAGGCCCGCGUGGUUCGGACCGGGGGCCGGCGGAAAAGGACCCGCCACACAGCGGGUACCUCGCCGCCGGCCUACCGGUGU
This 101-nucleotide non-coding RNA is filed under the name Frankia sp. Hr75.2. Lineage: Bacteria; Bacillati; Actinomycetota; Actinomycetes; Frankiales; Frankiaceae. The record is from RNAcentral.